GAGCCACUAGCUUUGAACCUGGCAAUUCCAGAGAAAAUGUAAUAUAUAUUGAUUACUGCACUGUUGAGAUAAGCUUGAAGGGGAACUUAGUCUGACACUUUAGAUCUGUUCAUUCAUAUGUUGUCGAGAUACUGAUCAAGAACACAAUAUAUACAUCAGUUGCUGACAACGCGCUAAAAUUAUAGAGAAGAGGAAAUCGUGGAUGGCUUGCAAAACGGCUGAACCAUGAUAUGGUUGGUGUUCAUAAGUACAUCGAUCAACAUCACCAAGAAGUUAGGCAUGCAUUAUUAUAUUUUGUAGGCGGGGAUGCCACGCUUUUCUUCUUUAAUUAUCUUGAAUCAACUACCUGCAUUUUUACAUAUUAAUUAUCUUGAAAUCAACUACCUGGAUCAUCUCUUUUAGAUAUGGUCUGGAUCAUCUCUUUUAUUUGUAGACUUGCUCUACCCUGGUGUUUGAUCAAUGACUGAAAGGUGUAUAGGAAUUAGCCCGUUUGAGAUGCAUGGGAUAUUUUGAA
Lolium perenne is the source of this 514-nucleotide long non-coding RNA. RefSeq lists it as uncharacterized. Lineage: Eukaryota; Viridiplantae; Streptophyta; Magnoliopsida; Poales; Poaceae. The record is from RefSeq and is a predicted model, not a curated record.